Molecule: long non-coding RNA, 597 nt
Filed under: Homo sapiens (human)
Lineage: Eukaryota; Metazoa; Chordata; Mammalia; Primates; Hominidae
Description: non-protein coding LINC01925:5
Source: RNAcentral
CGUAGGAGUGUCAUGAUUUUGAAGCGAGGCAGAUAAAGAAAAGCCAGGAAUGAAAACCCAAAAUGAAUAAUCACAAAGUUCGUGGAGAAAUCGGAGAAGCGCGACGACCCCUAACAGAGGGAGGGGAGAGCAGAAGCGGAGUGGUCAACUGGGAGACAUUAAACGCGGCAAGGGAGGAGAGCGCAACGUGCCUGCGGGGCCGGGCGGCUCGGCGGCCGCGAAUGACCUUCGGCGGAGCAGGGUCAGCGCCCCCGUGUGGCAGCGGGCGCGUGGCCGAGGUCCGAGGAGGGCCCGGAGGUCUGGCCGAGGUCCGAGGAGGGGCCCGGAGGUCUGGCCGAGGUCCGAGGAGGGGCCCGGAGGUCUGGCCGAGGUCCGAGGAGGGGCCCGGAGGUCUGGCCGAGGUCCGAGGAGGGGCCCGGAGGUCUGGCCGAGGUCCGAGGAGGGGUCCGGAGGUCUGGCCGAGGUCCGAGGAGGGGUCCGGAGGUCUGGCCGAGGUCCGAGGAGGGGUCCGGAGGUCUGGCCGAGGUCCGAGGAGGGGUCCGGAGGUCUGGCCGAGGUCCGAGGAGGGGCCCGGAGGUCUGGCCGAGGUCCGAGGAG